AGAGUUUGAUCAUGGCUCAGAACGAACGCUGGCGGCGUGGAUAAGACAUGCAAGUCGAACGCGAACUUAUUUGAUAGCAAUAUUAAAUAAGUUUGAGUGGCGAAAGGGUGCGUAACACGUGGGAAUCUAUCGAAAAGUGGGGGAUAGCCCGCCGAAAGGCGGGGUAAUACUCCAUGUGAAGGAAACUUCAAAGCCGGGGAUCGCAAGACCUGGCGCUUUUCGAGGAGCCCGCGGCCUAUCAGCUAGUUGGUGAGGUAACGGCUCACCAAGGCAAUGACGGGUAGCUGGUCUGAGAGGACGACCAGCCACACUGGAACUGAGACACGGUCCAGACACCUACGGGUGGCAGCAGUCGAGAAUUUUUCACAAUGGGGGAAACCCUGAUGGAGCGACGCCGCGUGGAGGAUGAAGGUUUUCGGAUUGUAAACUCCUGUCACUGCAGAGCAAAGCUUUCACGUUAACACCGUGAGAGUCUGAUAGUAUGCAGGGAGGAAGGGACGGCUAACUCUGUGCCAGCAGCCGCGGUAAUACAGAGGUCCCGAGCGUUGUUCGGAUUCACUGGGCGUAAAGGGUGUGUAGGAGGUCAGAUAAGUCAGGUGUGAAAUCCCACGGCUUAACCGUGGAACUGCAUUCGAUACUGUUUGACUAGAGGUCUGGAGGGGGAAGCGGAAUUCUUGGUGUAGCGGUGAAAUGCGUAGAUAUCAAGAGGAACACCGGUGGCGAAGGCGGCUUCCUGGACAGGUCCUGNNNNNGAAACACGAAAGCCAGGGGAGCGAAUGGGAUUAGAUACCCUAGUAGUCC
RNAcentral lists this ribosomal RNA (801 nucleotides) under uncultured bacterium. RNAcentral describes it as "bacterial SSU rRNA". It matches the Rfam family "Bacterial small subunit ribosomal RNA", at positions 8 to 796 of the family's 1533-position model. The record is from RNAcentral.